Selaginella moellendorffii is the source of this 318-nucleotide long non-coding RNA. RefSeq lists it as uncharacterized. Lineage: Eukaryota; Viridiplantae; Streptophyta; Lycopodiopsida; Selaginellales; Selaginellaceae. The record is from RefSeq and is a predicted model, not a curated record. The transcript is spliced from 3 exons.
CUCAGUUCCUGCUGCUCCUCAGCUUCAAAUGGCAGUCACAGAAAUUUUACAACAUCAGUGGUCGUAUACUCGGAGGUAAUGUUCCCUUAGAUGGAACUCGAGCUGCUACAAGCAUAGUUCAAGAGUCAGAUGCUUUGCUCAUCAUUGGCUCGACUGUAAUGGUUUUACCAGCCUUUCGUCUUGUGAGUGCCACUCAUAAGGGUAAAACUCGAGCCGACGAGAUUGCUUGCUUUGAGAUCGGGAGCUGUGUUGGUGAAGUGAGUUUGUCAAUGGAACUCUCAAGUCUUGUGAGCAUACAUCCAAUUGGCUGCUGCCCCC